AGUGAACGCUGGCGGUAGGCCUAGCACAUGCAAGUCGAACGGCAGCACAGUAAGAGCUUGCUCUUACGGGUGGCGAGUGGCGGACGGGUGAGGAAUACAUCGGAAUCUACUUUUUCGUGGGGGAUAACGUAGGGAAACUUACGCUAAUACCGCAUACGACCUACGGGUGAAAGCAGGGGAUCUUCGGACCUUGCGCGAUUGAAUGAGCCGAUGUCGGAUUAGCUAGUUGGCGGGGUAAAGGCCCACCAAGGCGACGAUCCGUAGCUGGUCUGAGAGGAUGAUCAGCCACACUGGAGCUGAGACACGGUCCAGACUCCUACGGGAGGCAGCAGUGGGGAAUAUUGGACAAUGGGCGCAAGCCUGAUCCAGCCAUACCGCGUGGGUGAAGAAGGCCUUCGGGUUGUAAAGCCCUUUUGUUGGGAAAGAAAAGCAGCAGGUUAAUACCCCGCUGUUCUGACGGUACCCAAAGAAUAAGCACCGGCUAACUUCGU
This 491-nucleotide ribosomal RNA is filed under the name uncultured bacterium. RNAcentral describes it as "partial 16S ribosomal RNA". It matches the Rfam family "Bacterial small subunit ribosomal RNA", at positions 29 to 506 of the family's 1533-position model. The record is from RNAcentral.